UCAUGAUGCGUGCCUGCCCUUUUCUGUUGUGGAGUACUCUCUCAGCUACUUGGACAAACCAAAUAAUUGUGACCCAGACACCUGGUGUGGUUAAGAUGAUAGCCGGUGGCACGGUGACUUUGAAGUGCCACGUUGAUCAGAUUCUCGCCUUUUGCCACUCAGUGACUUGGAUGAAAGUAGACGCCAGGACUGGAACAAUGAGCACAAGAACUAACGUAAAGAUUAAUACGACCUCUGAGGUGGGGAAACUGGACAGAGUAUGUUCGGCAACCAUCACCAACGCAUUAGUGAGCGACUCUGGCAUGUACUACUGUUUGGCUGUUCACUCCAAGGCGGUCCACACUGGCAACGGAUCCAAUCUAAUCGUCACAGAGAGCAGCACUGAAUCCCCAAACAUCAAAAUCUUCUCAUCAGACAGCGACGGCUCCUCCGCCGCUCUGCUGUGUUUGGUGUCAGGAGUGGUCCCGUCUCAAGUCCAUGUGUUCUGGCUCAUAGACGGGAGAGAGGACAGUGGACUUACUGAGUCCACCUGGACAGACAACAGUGAUUCAGCCACAGAGUUCACUAGGAACCAGAUUCUAGUCCAGGCAGAGGAGUGGGACAAAGGGGUUCAGUGUACGUGUGUGGUGGAGUUUGAGGGAAAUUCUAUCAACAAAACUGUGCAAAGAAUAGAUCUUGGCGUGCUGUCUUAUGUCACAGUGUGGAUAUACAGACUUCUGGGAAUAACUGCCUGGCUUCUGUUGUUGAUCCUGGCUACCACUGUGGCAGCAUGCAGGGGCAAGACUAGAGGUGUUCAGAGGAAUGAUACCUCAAAGAACAGGGGACAAAGGCAUAAUUCAUCAUAAAAAGGGUUUACAGUUUGUCAUUUGUACAAUGUCAUUUUGGUUGCAUUGACGUGUGUCAAGACCAUUGGGAAAAGUUGUUUAUUUUUGUUGUUGUUGUCGUCUCUUGCUUAACUGUUGCUAACUAUUCAAAAAUAAAAGUGUAAAUUGGGAAAAAGCUCAUUAGAAUUUCAAAUUGCGGUUAUAUUUUUUCUCAUAAAACAUAUUCAUACUGAAUUAUUAU
Molecule: non-coding RNA, 1065 nt
Organism: Oncorhynchus masou masou (cherry salmon)
Lineage: Eukaryota; Metazoa; Chordata; Actinopteri; Salmoniformes; Salmonidae
Source: the annotation of a RefSeq genome assembly